CAUUAGAUGACUGAAAGCAAGUAAUGGUCUCUUAAACCAAAAAAUAGUAAAUUAGCAUCUACUUCUAAUG
RNAcentral lists this transfer RNA (70 nucleotides) under Attagenus hottentotus. RNAcentral's name for it is "tRNA-Lys". Lineage: Eukaryota; Metazoa; Arthropoda; Insecta; Coleoptera; Dermestidae. The record is from RNAcentral.